UCGCCUUUAGCUCAGUGGUAGAGCGUCCGGCUGUUAACCGGAUGAUGUUGGUUCGAUUCCAGCAGGGUGAGCCA
RNAcentral lists this transfer RNA (74 nucleotides) under uncultured archaeon. RNAcentral describes it as "tRNA-Asn(gtt)". It matches the Rfam family "tRNA". From Rfam's summary of the family: Transfer RNA (tRNA) molecules are approximately 80 nucleotides in length. Their secondary structure includes four short double-helical elements and three loops (D, anti-codon, and T loops). Further hydrogen bonds mediate the characteristic L-shaped molecular structure. tRNAs have two regions of fundamental functional importance: the anti-codon, which is responsible for specific mRNA codon recognition, and the 3' end, to which the tRNAs corresponding amino acid is attached (by aminoacyl-tRNA synthetases). tRNAs cope with the degeneracy of the genetic code in two manners: having more than one tRNA (with a specific anti-codon) for a particular amino acid; and 'wobble' base-pairing, i.e. permitting non-standard base-pairing at the 3rd anti-codon position. The record is from RNAcentral.